UAGGGAAUAUUGGACAAUGGGCGAAAGCCUGAUCCAGCAACGCCGCGUGUGCGAUGACGGCCUUCGGGUUGUAAAGCACUUUUAGAGGAGAUGAGAAAGGACAGUAUCCUCUGAAUAAGCCUCGGCGAACUACGUGCCAGCAGCCGCGGUAAAACGUAGGAGGCUAGCGUUAUCCGGAUUUAUUGGGCGUAAAGCGCGUGCAGGCGGUUUAUCAAGUUGGAUGUGAAAGCUCCUGGCUUAACUGGGAGAGGUCGUUCAAAACUGA
This 265-nucleotide ribosomal RNA is filed under the name uncultured bacterium. RNAcentral describes it as "partial 16S ribosomal RNA". It matches the Rfam family "Bacterial small subunit ribosomal RNA", at positions 355 to 636 of the family's 1533-position model. The record is from RNAcentral.